CUCCCUCUUUCUUCUUGCCUCAUACAUGCCCGUAGACCGCUGAAGAGAGGAGCUUGCUCUUCUUGGAUGAGUUGCGAACGGGUGAGUAACGCGUAGGUAACCUGCCUUGUAGCGGGGGAUAACUAUUGGAAACGAUAGCUAAUGCCGCAUAACAAUGGAUGACACAUGUCAUUUAUUUGAAAGGGGCAAUUGUUCCACUACAAGAUGGACCUGCGUUGUAUUAGCUAGUAGGUGAGGUAAUGGCUCACCUAGGCGACGAUACAUAGCCGACCUGAGAGGGUGAUCGGCCACACUGGGACUGAGACACGGCCCAGACGCCUACGGGAGGCAGCAGUAGGGAAGCUUCGGCAAUGGGGGCAACCCUGACCGAGCAACGCCGCGUGAGUGAAGAAGGGUUUCGGAUCGUAAAGCUCGGUUGUAAGUCAAGAACGGGUGUGAGAGUGGAAAGUUCACACUGUGACGGUAGCUUACCAGAAAGGGACGGCUAACUACGUG
RNAcentral lists this ribosomal RNA (495 nucleotides) under uncultured bacterium. RNAcentral's name for it is "partial 16S ribosomal RNA". It matches the Rfam family "Bacterial small subunit ribosomal RNA", at positions 36 to 507 of the family's 1533-position model. The record is from RNAcentral.